This 250-nucleotide ribosomal RNA is filed under the name uncultured Snodgrassella sp. RNAcentral describes it as "uncultured Candidatus Snodgrassella sp. partial 16S ribosomal RNA". It matches the Rfam family "Bacterial small subunit ribosomal RNA", at positions 524 to 773 of the family's 1533-position model. Lineage: Bacteria; Pseudomonadati; Pseudomonadota; Betaproteobacteria; Neisseriales; Neisseriaceae. The record is from RNAcentral.
UACGUAGGGUGCGAGCGUUAAUCGGAAUUAUUGGGCGUAAAGCGAGUGCCGACGGUUGUUUAAGCCAGAUGUGAAAUCCCCGAGCUUAACUUGGGACGUGCAUUUGGAACUGGAUAACUAGAGUGUGACAGAGGGAGGUAGAAUUCCACAUGUAGCGGUGGAAUGCGUAGAGAUGUGGAGGAAUACCGAUGGCGAAGGCAGCCUCCUGGGAUAACACUGACGUUGAGGCUCGAAAGCGUGGGGAGCAAAC